CGUGUAGGCGGUAAUGUAAGUCAGACGUGAAAUCCUUUGGCUCAACUGAAGAACUGCGUCUGAAACUGCAUGACUAGAGUGCAGAAGAGGGAAACGGAAUUCCUGGUGUAGAGGUGAAAUUCGUAGAUAUCAGGAGGAACACCGGUGGCGAAGGCGGUUUCCUGGUCUGACACUGACGCUGAGGCGCGAAAGCGUGGGGAGCAAACAGGAUUAGAUACCCUGGUAGUCCACGCCGUAAACGGUGGGUACUGGGUGUGGGAGGUGUAAUGCCUUCUGUGCCGAAGCUAACGCGUUAAGUACCCCGCCUGGGGAGUACGGCCGCAAGGUUGAA
RNAcentral lists this ribosomal RNA (331 nucleotides) under uncultured bacterium. Its description in RNAcentral is "bacterial SSU rRNA". It matches the Rfam family "Bacterial small subunit ribosomal RNA", at positions 568 to 898 of the family's 1533-position model. The record is from RNAcentral.